UACGGAGGGGGCAAGCGUUACUCGGAAUUAUUGGGCGUAAAGGGCGCGUAGGCGGUCCUGUGCGUCGGAGGUGAAAUCCCCGGGCUCAACCCGGGAGCUGCCUCCGAUACGGCGGGACUUGAGUCCGGGAGAGGGGAGCGGAAUUCCCAGUGUAGCGGUGAAAUGCGUAGAUAUUGGGAGGAACACCAGUGGCGAAGGCGGCUCCCUGGACCGGUACUGACGCUGAGGCGCGAAAGCGUGGGUAG
This 245-nucleotide ribosomal RNA is filed under the name uncultured bacterium. RNAcentral describes it as "partial 16S ribosomal RNA". It matches the Rfam family "Bacterial small subunit ribosomal RNA", at positions 524 to 768 of the family's 1533-position model. The record is from RNAcentral.